Oncorhynchus masou masou (cherry salmon) is the source of this 800-nucleotide long non-coding RNA. RefSeq lists it as uncharacterized. Lineage: Eukaryota; Metazoa; Chordata; Actinopteri; Salmoniformes; Salmonidae. The transcript has 3 exons. The record is from RefSeq and is a predicted model, not a curated record.
GUGGCAGCAUGGGCCCUCCAUUUGGAGUGGUUCCAAUUUUAACAAGAACGACGGUGUUGCUAUUUUAAUCAAGACCCCACAGGUGGUGGUGAAGGGGAGCACGGUGGUGGUAGGAUCGGGAACCAGUAUGUCCAGUGCGCGGGCUCGCUAUAGGUGAGCCCACAACGGUUUGGCGCAACGUGGCCCAUCCUGCUCUCCUGAAUCGGCAUCGGGACCUGUCCUGGAUGGUCGCCCACGAGAUCCUCCCGGUCAGGGCCGUUAUGCACUCACGGGGCAUGGCGAGGAUAUCCGCGUGCCCCCGACCAGCCGCCAGGGACCUGUGGAAGGAAGCAGGCCCCCUGAUCACCUCGUGUCUGCCAGCAGGGGAGGACCUAACAUCUCAGCUCGUGCUGUAUGGGGUGGGCCGAAGGCCCAUUCCAUCAAAGACCUUCACCAAGCUCUGGUCCACCCUCACGUGCCUGAAGGAAGCACUGUGGUCCUCCCGUAACCUGCUGGUAGCGAAAAACGUAGAGCCAACCCCCAGGCAGUGGCCAUGGUAGCCACGGAAGCCCUGGGGUGGUACGGAAGAAAGGGGGCCUCAACCCCAAGCGAAGGGUCCCCCACAACACCCUAGGUCCCGGCGGCCACGGCCUGACAGCGCUGCGGCGCCUAGGGCGAUGCGCCUAGGGGAGGGAUCCCCUCUGGGCCCCGAAGGACGGGAUGAUGAUCCAUUCAGAAGAGCAGGAUGAGGUGAGCUUGAUAAAGACUCACCCCGCUCCUGUACAAGGGACUGAAGACAGCCUUUUAACAAAGUGGCUUUU